Molecule: long non-coding RNA, 1963 nt
Organism: Olea europaea var. sylvestris
Lineage: Eukaryota; Viridiplantae; Streptophyta; Magnoliopsida; Lamiales; Oleaceae
Exons: 6
Source: RefSeq, a predicted model, not a curated record
GCUGGAAGGGGAAGCUGAACCACAUGCUCCGUCUCGGCCAACAGAGCCUAUUGCUCCAUUUCUCACCAGGUCGUUCCUAAUAUAGAGAAAUGAUGCGUUCAUCUUAUGCUAAGCCCUUGUACUCGUUAGAUGAUUUCUCUUUAUAUGGAGCAUGUACUGUUUCCCAAUGGGGUAUGCAUAAAAAAGAGUGUGAAAGAUUACCACAGCAAUUGAAGCGUGCUCAUGUGUUAUGUCUUGUGUGAUUUCCCUUUACAUUUAAUCAAGAAUUUCAGGUUUGAUUUUUAUUGUUUAAUUGAUUAAUUUCAUUUACUUAUUUAAAUUAAUUAAUAUUUUAACGAAGUCAUGCAGGAGCUUAUUUGGGCGAAAUUUUGUUGGUUUUCGGUUAGGUGUGUGAAAAGUGAUAGGUGCAUUCUUCAUUGUUAAUAGAACACGGAAUUCACCUUACAGGAAUGUGAAUGUGUUAAUGUAGUUGUGAGGGAUGGUCUAUCCCUUUCGAUCAAUCAAGGUAUUUCUUGCUAAUUUUUCUAAUCCAAUGCUAUAACUGCUGGAACGGUUUGUACUAUGAGCAUGUUUGAGUAAGCUUAUUGUUUCAAUACAUGUCUGGAUAUGUUAAGUUUGAGAUUGUUUUGGUCACACUGCCUAUUGAUUUCUGGUAGGUUGCUUGAAGUUUGGAAUCGUCCAAGUGCACUGCCCUUGUAAAGGGUACCUGAACUAAAAAGUUGGAAGGACUACCAUGAAUGGAGGUGCAUCCCAAUUUGUUCUCCUGCUGCUUUACUUCUUCACUUGCCACUCACAAUAUACUGGGCUAUUCGGCUUGCAACUCUUAAAAGUUGAUUCCUGCAAUCUGAAAUGAGCUGCACAUACAUUACCUAGGAUUUGGACUUGUAUGGAAAUCCUAGCAGAAGCUGAAAGGCAUGUCAUAACCUCUGAUCAAUUGCUCACAAUUCCUGAACACGAUGAAUGGAUCUAUAGUGAUGGGAAGUUAAUGACGCAUGCCUUUAUUCUUGCAAUAUAUGUGGUCCACUCUCCAAUUCAAUUCAAGUAACUGAAUUUACGACUGCGAUGCCUAAAUGCUCAAGAUUUUUGAGAAUAACUAGUCACCUAUGGAUUGGAUGUAACAACGGGGACCAUCAGCUUUCAUUCUGCCAGAUUUUGGGUGAGUAAAUGGUAUUGCCAUAUAAUGACACUUUAGAGCCCUAUACCAAUAGCAUUACUGUUACUUUGUAGGUCUAUAUGUUUAGUAGCACCAAUUAAUGAUUUAGUGUAUCGAAAAGCUAAAAAGGAAGACAAACUUAAGGAUAUCUUUGAUCAUUCCACAAAAUAUUUCUAAAGAAAUUAUUUACUGUAUAUGCAUAUAUGAAAACUUUAUUUUUACAUGUAGAAAACAAUUCUUCAAAUGAAUGUCAUUACAAUCUCUAUCAAAUACAGACAAUGCAGCAAUUUAAUAAUAAAAAAAUACAAAAUAAAAUGUGAGAUGAGUUCAUGCACUCAUAUUAUUGUUUUUAUGGAGCUUUUGUGUUUUCUUGUGGUAUUUAUCUUUGAUCCAAUGAAAACCAGUGGUAACUCCGGCCUUAACUUUCCUCAUUCCGGUGGUGGCUGCCACCUUAGUUUUGUCGAACUUGUGGCCGACCUUGGCGGAGAUUUUGGAAGAUCCACCACUGUUUGUAUUGUUGUUGUAACUGUACAGUGGCUCUGGAUCCCAUUGAUCAGCCCAUGAGGUCUCAUAUGAACUAUCGUAAUUAGAUGCCAUUGUUAUUUGUUAAACUGCAGAUAUAGAGAGAAAAAUACACAAAUGUAUACAGAGAAGAGAGACUUGGUUUCAGGGUAUUCUAUUUUGGAGAGGUUGCAGAGUAGGCUAGGAUUUUUAUAUGGUGUAAUUUAAGCACGUGUUCCAUGAACAAGUAUAGUUCCUGGAAAUGAAUCUAUUUUGAAUGGCAUACUUAAUUAUAUGGAUUUCUCAUCA